Molecule: small RNA, 127 nt
Filed under: Marmota monax (woodchuck)
Lineage: Eukaryota; Metazoa; Chordata; Mammalia; Rodentia; Sciuridae
Source: RNAcentral
GCUAGGUGCACUGGCGCGCACCUGUCAUCCCAGUAGCUUGGGAGGCUGAGGCAGGAGGAUCGUAAGGUGGAGGCCAGCCUCAGCCACAUAGUGAGGCCCUGAGCAACUCAGCAAGACCCUGGCUCUA